UGGGGAAUUUUGGACAAUGGGCGCAAGCCUGAUCCAGCAAUGCCGCGUGCAGGAUGAAGGCCUUCGGGUUGUAAACUGCUUUUGUACGGAACGAAACGGCGAACUCUAAUACAGUUUGCUAAUGACGGUACCGUAAGAAUAAGCACCGGCUAACUACGUGCCAGCAGCCGCGGUAAUACGUAGGGUGCAAGCGUUAAUCGGAAUUACUGGGCGUAAAGCGUGCGCAGGCGGUGAUGUAAGACAGAUGUGAAAUCCCCGGGCUCAACCUGGGACCUGCAUUUGUGACUGCAUCGCUAGAGUACGGUAGAGGGGGAUGGAAUUCCGCGUGUAGCAGUGAAAUGCGUAGAUAUGCGGAGGAACACCGAUGGCGAAGGCAAUCCCCUGGACCUGUACUGACGCU
RNAcentral lists this ribosomal RNA (400 nucleotides) under uncultured bacterium. Its description in RNAcentral is "bacterial SSU rRNA". It matches the Rfam family "Bacterial small subunit ribosomal RNA", at positions 355 to 747 of the family's 1533-position model. The record is from RNAcentral.